RNAcentral lists this long non-coding RNA (1495 nucleotides) under Papio anubis (olive baboon). Its description in RNAcentral is "lncRNA (ENSPANG00000037884.1)". Lineage: Eukaryota; Metazoa; Chordata; Mammalia; Primates; Cercopithecidae. The record is from RNAcentral.
AUUACUCAACACUUAUCUCAGCUUUUCAUGAAAAGCAGUCCUUUUUAUACAAUUACCCUGGACCCAUUCUCAAUUAAGACUGCCCACCCUGAAGAGUACUACAGCAAUUCACACCCUGGGAAGUAUUAACUACAUGGAAAGCAUCUUCUCUGGCAUGUUGUCAGCCUUAAUAAUGGGUGGAAUUCCUUGCAUCCUUUGGGGAGAGUUGCCCCUUUUGUACCAUCUUUGACAAUAAAUGUGCUCCUUUUUAAAGAAACAUUCAUCCCGCUUUGUAAACUAUUCAAAAUUAUAGCAUUAUUGGCUCUCCACCGCAUUGUGUUCAUGGUUAGACCUUGCUACCUCCUCCAGAUAACAAUCACUCCUAACAUUCUCCAUUAUGUGUGGCAGCUCAUCCAGUCAUGGCUGUCACUAUGAGGAGGCAACAAUGCAUCAGCCGAGACAGAGGACUACUGCUCCCAUGGUUACCUCCACCCUCACGACCACCACCACCACCAGCUCCCUAAUUUAUGAACAGUGUUUCAGAUCCGUUACCUCAGCAGCUUCAGUUCUGGAAACCUACUUCACAUUAUUAACUAGCUUAUAAUCAGAAGGGACUUCCCCUGGCUCAGGUGAGACUUUGGACUUGUACUUUAAUGCUGGAAUGAGUGAAGACUUUGGGACACUGUUGGAAAGGUAUGAUUGGUUUUGAAAUGUGAAAGGGGCAUGAGAUUUGGGAGGGGCCAGGGGUAGAAUGAUAUGGUUUGACUGUGACCCCAUCCAAAAUCUCUUCUUGAACUAUAAUCCCCAUAAUCCCCAUGUGUCAAGGGUGGGACCAGAGGGAGGUAAUUGGAUCAUGAGGCAGUUUUCCCCAUGCUGUUCUCAUAAUAGUGAAUGAGUCUCAUGAGAUCUAGUUUUAUAAAUGUCUGGCAUUUCCGCUGCUUGCACUCACUCUGUCCUGCCACUCUAUGUAGAAGGUGCCUGCUUUUCUUUUGCCUUCCACUAUGAUUGUAAGUUUUCUGUGGCCUACCCAGCCAUGUGGAACUGUUAGUCAACUAAACCUCUUUCCGUUAUAAAUUACCUAGUCUCAGGUAUUUCUUUAUAGCAGCAUGAGAACAGACUAAUACACAUAUCCGUGCUGCACUUCACACAUUUAUACCACCAAAUUGUUCUUUGCUAAUAUUUAUCAUGAUGGGCCAAAGUGGAACUGCUGCAAUUGGCCAUUUGAUAUCUAAGUCAUGCAAGGUACAAGUAGACAAAUGUGAUAUUGCCAUGGAAAGCACAAAAAAAUAGACUUACCAACCACAAAAUAUUAGAAGCAUCUCCCAUCCAAUUGGUAUUGUUUAAUAUAUUUGAAGACUAUAUUCCUUUAAAAAAUAAAAGCUAUGAAAUGAAAUAAAUCAUAACUGUUCUCUGGCUAGCAUAAUCAAGAGACAAAUCAAUUUUUUUUCACCCACUAUCAGUCUGGUUUAUCCAAAUAAACAAAAGGAAUAGAAGACACACACACACACAUAAACAC